ACACGUAAGUUGCGAGCGUUGUUCGGAAUUAUUGGGCGUAAAGGGCAUGCAGGCGGCUGCGUAAGCCUGAUGUGAAAUGCCGGGGCUCAACCCCGGAACUGCAUUGGGAACUACGCGGCUAGAGUUACUGAGGGGCAGCCGGAAUUCCAGGUGUAGGGGUGAAAUCUGUAGAUAUCUGGGAGAACACCGAUGGCGAAGGCAGGCUGCCAGCAGAUAACUGACGCUGAGGUGCGAAGGUGCGGGGAGCGAACAGGAUUAGAUACCCUGGUAGUCCGCACAGUAAACGAUGUACACUAGGUGUCUGGCCAUGAGGCUGGGUGCCAAAGCGAACGUGAUAAGUAUUCCACCUGGGGAGUACGCCGGCAACGGUGAAACUCAAAUGAAUUGGCGGGG
Molecule: ribosomal RNA, 393 nt
Filed under: uncultured bacterium
Lineage: Bacteria
Description: partial 16S ribosomal RNA
Rfam family: Bacterial small subunit ribosomal RNA
Source: RNAcentral